Molecule: ribosomal RNA, 183 nt
Filed under: uncultured bacterium
Lineage: Bacteria
Description: partial 16S ribosomal RNA
Rfam family: Bacterial small subunit ribosomal RNA
Source: RNAcentral
ACAUGAAGUUGGAAUUGCUAGUAAUCGCGGAUCAGCAUGCCGCGGUGAAUACGUUCCCGGGCCUUGUACACACCGCCCGUCACACCAUGGGAGUUUGUAACACCCGAAGUCAGUGUCCCAACCGCAAGGAGGGAGCUGCCGAAGGUGGGAUAAGCGACUGGGGUGAAGUCGUAACAAGGUAAC